Molecule: ribosomal RNA, 391 nt
Filed under: uncultured bacterium
Lineage: Bacteria
Description: bacterial SSU rRNA
Rfam family: Bacterial small subunit ribosomal RNA
Source: RNAcentral
GACGAACGCUGGCGGCGUGCCUAACACAUGCAAGUCGAGCGAAUGAAGUUCCUUCGGGAACGGAUUUAGCGGCGGACGGGUGAGUAACACGUGGGCAACCUGCCUCAUAGAGGGGAAUAGCCUUCCGAAAGGGAGAUUAAUACCGCAUAAGAUUGUAGUACCGCAUGGUACAGCAAUUAAAGGAGCAAAUCCGCUAUGAGAUGGGCUCGCGUCCGAUUAGAUAGUUGGCGGGGUAACGGCCCACCAAGUCGACGAUCGGUAGCCGGACUGAGAGGUUGAUCGGCCACAUUGGGACUGAGACACGGCCCAGACUCCUACGGGAGGCAGCAGUAGGGAAUAUUGCACAAUGGAGGAAAACUCUGAUGCAGCCAUGCCGCGUGUGUGAAGAAGG